UUUCGGGUGACGAUUCCCUGGAGUUACUAUCCUCAUGGUGAGAGGAACUGCUCGCCCGGCUGAUAUCAAUUCUUGGUGUGCUGGGUGUCUUUAGCGAACUACCAGGCGUUGCCGGGGUGGCGACCUCGAUGAUGCCUGGCAUUCGUGUCGUUGGUUCCCCCUGCAUUCAAAUUCGUAGACUGGUUUGUCGUUGGAUCACAGUCUUGGAAUUGAAGGUGUAGAACUUCGGGGUUCAGGCGCCUCCAAAGUUUAAGAGGAAGACGUGCGACACUCGGAGAGGGAACACACGUGCUCGAUUCUCGUGAGCCGAGUGGGUCUCGGAGAGUCGAUAAGAAGUAGGACUCAGGGAGGACUCAUGGGGGACUCACGUUUUCCACCUCGUCCGAUAGGUCUUCGAAGGACGCUAUUGGUGCUGGUCCAAGCUUCCUCUGACGAGCGCUCGGCAAUCCUGAUGCCAUAUUCGAUAGCUCGGACCUCGGAGAUACUGGAAAGCCGAUGAACAAAAAAGACGAUUAUAAUUCUUCUUUAUUUUCAAUUAAAAGGAUUUCGGUGAUAUCUACGUAUAUUAAGAUAUAUGAAAGGUCUAUGAGUAUAUUACUACAUACUUGUGUUAACUAAAAUCGAUAGAGAAGCGAUCGUUAAGGGUUCAAGCAAACAUUCAGAAAAAUAAUCGUACAUAUAUUGCGUUCUACUAAUGAUCUUCCAUGAUGGAAAAUCGAUGAACAUGACUAUAAUCUGCGGAGGCCAUGUAUAAAGACCAUCUCUCAGCGAUCGUGAACGUGACUUAAAGUUUAAAGCUCGCCGUCGCAUCGCAUAAUCUAACUUUGUCAUUGACGAUGGGCGGAGCUUCAACAGGCCAACAAAGCUUAUCUUUUCAUAAGUCACGUUCACCAAUUGAUUCUCCGAACUUUCAUUUUCCAAUAGCAACUAUAAAAAAGAUUUAAUAUGGUCGAUAGAUAGUUGUUGAUUCCGAUCUCAAAACAAAAAAAAAAUUUCUAAACAGGUUAUCAGGACAGUUCUAAGUGUAAAAUUCUUGUACGUAUUGUAUGAUAAAUCGAAAGUAACAUGAAACAACCGUGUCGAGUGCCCAUUAACGACGUAUAAUGAAUGCAAGCGUAGGAGUAAAAGGGCGCGUAAAUGCAUUGAAUAAGAAGGGAGUAAAAUGAAGCGAAUGAAGACACUUCGGACAAAGGCUGCUUGAAGAAUGGCAUUAAGAUUGUUCGAGAAAAAUUAUAUUUAUCUUCCCUAAUUUUUCUAUUUCAAACGAUGCUAAAAUCGAAAAUUUUUGUUCUUUAAGUUCUU
Long non-coding RNA from Vespa velutina, 1302 nucleotides. RefSeq lists it as uncharacterized. NCBI's taxonomy places the organism in Eukaryota, Metazoa, Arthropoda, Insecta, Hymenoptera, Vespidae. The transcript is spliced from 3 exons. The record is from RefSeq and is a predicted model, not a curated record.